GACGAACGCUGGCGGCGUGCUUAACACAUGCAAGUCGAACGGAAAGGCCCUGCUUUUGUGGGGUGCUCGAGUGGCGAACGGGUGAGUAACACGUGAGUAACCUGCCCUUGACUUUGGGAUAACUUCAGGAAACUGGGGCUAAUACCGGAUAGGAGCUCCUGCUGCAUGGUGGGGGUUGGAAAGUUUCGGCGGUUGGGGAUGGACUCGCGGCUUAUCAGCUUGUUGGUGGGGUAGUGGCUUACCAAGGCUUUGACGGGUAGCCGGCCUGAGAGGGUGACCGGGGACCAUAGGCCUGAGAUACGGCGCAGUCGGCUACGGGAGGCAGCGGGGGGGAGUAUUGCGCAAUGGGCGGGAGCGUGAGACGGAGGCGCCGCGUGCGGGAUGACGGCCUUCGGGUUGUAAACCGCUUUCGCCUGUGACGAAGCGUGAGUGACGGUAAUGGGUAAAGAAGCACCGGCUAACUACGUG
Molecule: ribosomal RNA, 468 nt
Filed under: uncultured bacterium
Lineage: Bacteria
Description: partial 16S ribosomal RNA
Rfam family: Bacterial small subunit ribosomal RNA
Source: RNAcentral